This 6504-nucleotide unclassified non-coding RNA is filed under the name Leishmania donovani. RNAcentral's name for it is "gene:LdHU3.08.0600(CDS-product:protein_kinase__pu tative)". The record is from RNAcentral. Lineage: Eukaryota; Euglenozoa; Kinetoplastea; Trypanosomatida; Trypanosomatidae.
CAACCGAAUCCGGCAACCGUCGAUCAACCCCGGCCCUCAGCUUUUUCCUUACCCAGGCAGGUGCUACGGCCCACGCAUGCGCGCCGCCGCGCAUCAUCAUCAUCUCCCUCCUCUCCUUUGCGCUAGCACGUUUCACAUCACGCGUAUCCGUUCCCCGGCGGCGCAGCACACACCCCUUCGCAACGCCGUAAGAAGGGGCACGCGGACCAACAGCACCGCCGCCGCCGUGAACGUCUCCGCUUACUCCUUCGCUGCGCCACCGCUGACGAACCCCUAUGCGUAUGCGGCUUCGCCGUCCCCAUCCUCGGCACCUUCAAUGCGCACCGUGGGUGUUGCCGCCGCCGCCGCGGCGAUGUCGACAGUGCAUGCCGCAAGCGUGACGAACAGCGGCGCGGCGGCACACACCUGGACGAAUGGUGGCCGUGGUGGCCACGGUGCCGCGCAUGCGCUCACCAACUCUGGCAGAGAUGUCUCUCUCGUGCUUCUGACUGUCGCCUGCACGCUGCUGGUCGUCACAAUUGUGCUGCUGAUCGUUGGUGUUCGCCUCCUCAAGCGGUUCGCGGCAGCUGUAGCAGCAGCGGAAGGUGCAAGGGGCCAGGACAUUCUUAGCAACAACCUGAGUGCUGGUGAGGCCGCGGCGUACAUUAGUGUCGGCAUCGUCGACGACGACGACGAAGCAGCCUUGCACACCGACAACGGUGACAGCCGCACACAGCUUGUGGAAUAUGCCGAUGAGCGGGAACCCCUACUGCAUCACGUACGUGGCCGCGGCGGCGGAGCUGGUCGUCAUCGCCGCAGUGCUAGUCGCCAGCACCAGCAGCCUGGUCGACGCACAACCUUGGCCGUCUUCGAAGCACUCAGCAUUCUUCUCGGUGUCUCCUCCACGCCCCCCACCGCGGACGCUAGCAGCCAUGGAGCUGCGGCGGCGCCGCGACGCCGGUCGAGAAGCUGUCAGGCAGGGAGCUCAGCAGUGCCCACUCCCGAAAAUCAGCCAGCAUUGCGCAGCUCACCACAGCAGCAGCGCCACGCUGGGCGUCGUGCCGUCCCCGACGCGUUGGCCGCGGACGAGAACUCGAGGGGCGCCUUCCGUUCAGGGCCGCAGCCCACCUGGCACAGCAACGGCUCACUGAGCCGGAGCGGCGCGGCGCGCAAGUGUGACGAAGCUGCCGUCGCGCCGGCGUCCGCCUCCCCAGCACCCGCGUCGCACCCGGCCGCUGCGCCUGGGUCGUCGGCCGCACCUGCCACCGCCGAUCACGGCGCCACCCCACCCAGCGGCAAUGCUCAGCUGCCAGUCUUUACCACGACCACCGAGAAGGACAUGGUGGUGUACAACACGACGCACAACUCGCGCUACCGCCUCCUGCAGCGCAUUGGCAUAGGCGCCUUCUCCUCUGUCUAUCUGGUGCAGCACAAGACGACGGGCAAGCAGUACGCGCUCAAGUACAUCUUGUGCAAGGGCGACCGCGAGCGACUGGCGGCGCUGCGCGAGUGCGAAGUGAUCUACAGCCUACAAGGGCACCCGCAGGUGAUCCGUAUUGUGGACAUGUUUAUGAGCUACCAGUUCCAACGUGCAUCGCCGUCGCCCACCGUCGCCGGCUCUCCUACCGCAGCCGCGACUAACUCCGCAUGUAAAGAGCAAGCGUCUGGUCAGCAGGGCUUGCGGUCGUUUCCUGGUGUCCCACCAAGCGCGCCGGCAGCACCCGCCGCCGCCCUCGCACCCUCCGCGAUUGCAACGCCGGCGUUGGCGCCGGCCUCUGCCGCUCCGGCGAGCACGUACACCACGUCGGUCGCGGGGCGGCUCAAGGGACUCAACGACGCUGCGUUGACGAAGGCGGCGAUGGAAAGCUCCACCGAGUCCCGCGCAGCAGCGCACAGCGAGGCUGACGAUGGUCACGUGGAUUUCAGCUGCGUGGACAGAGACAGGUAUAGCGAGGGGCACUGGCGCGGCAGCCGUCCGCGCGUGCGCCCAUCCGUCGAAGGAGUAGCCUGUGGUGCCUGCAUGGUCAACGUUGAUCAUGCCAGCGAUGUGGAAAAUGAAGAGAGUGCCUACAGUGAGCACCAGCAGCCACAGCAGCCAGGCAAACUGUCCAUGCGCGCGUCCUCCGUGUGCUGCCCACGUCCGCUUCCGCACAGCGUGCAGCACACGAGUCAAAGUAGCAGCAGCGUCCAUCCUACCCUCAGCGCCGCCGCUUCGGCGUCGACAGCGCCGGCCACCGCCUCGUCCUCUUCUGCGCUUGCUGGAAGCAGCUACGUACCGGCGCAGCUGUGCGCAGCCGCCGGUGGAGGUGCACAAGGGUGCGGGCACGUACCUUCGCAGUCUGCUCAUCAUUCAUCGACCACAGCGUCGGCGGCUCGUGCUGCCGCCACCGGUUCAUUGUACCCACCUCGUGAUGAGGCGCACGCCGACCAGCCCGACUUGUGCUGUCACGCGAUCGACGUUCCAGAUGCGGUCGUACAUGACGAGAGCGACGCCACCGCCCCAGUCCAUGCUUCGGCGAGGUGCUGCGCCGCGCACAGCACGACCACCACCGCGACAUCGAUGCACCCCUGCUUUCCAUCGACGGCGCGAAACGCUACGGUGAGUCGAAGCAGCGAAGCCGGUCAUGAGCCUGGCACCCUUGAGGACUGCGAUGGCGGCGAUGGUGUUUACAGCGGCAGUGACAGCAGGAGAAGAGCGGAACAAGGGCAGAGCGCGACGAGAGAAAGGGUCAAGCCAGCCUUGCAGUCGCGCAGGGCGUCGUCGGAGGACCGCGGCUCGGACGGGGCGGACGACGGUCAUGCUGAUAUCGAGGCGGGCAGAGAGGAGCGGCGGACAGAACUGCGCGGUGAUGCCGACGCCGAUGAAAUGCACAGCUGCAAAGGCAGCGAUGCGCGCUCCGGUGCCACCAGCUCCAGCGGUGCGGACGAAGAGCCCAUCCAGCCGAUCCACCGCAUCUUCGUGCCGCCGCCGUACAUGUACCCACCGUUAAACGGAAUGGCUGCUGCGCCGAGAAGCUGCAGCAUCUGCAGCAACAACAACGUGAGCUACGUAGGCACUGGCAAUGGUGCCGCCUCGGUGUUGCGGCCGCAGAGCCGGACCUGUGCGACAGGUGGGGAAAGCCCCACCUCGCACCACCCGUACUCCGCCUUUCCGACCGCCGCAGCCGGCGGAGCACUGGCAGUCGUGGGACCAGAGACGGCAAACGGCAGCACUGCGCCCGCUCCGGUGCGGCGCAUCCCUGAAAGACCAGACGUCGGGUCGCUGUCAGCAACCGCAUCUCCUCCACCGUUCGCCGCCGCUUCCGCCUCGCUCACGUCCUCGUCGCCGUCGCCGUCGGCGGCCGUGAACCUGCGUCACACAGCCGGUAGCCUUGUCAGCACGUCCACCCUUCCGCACCAGCAGCAGCAGCAGCACCCGCAGCCCAUCCCGUCGUCUGUGACCUCGUACGCCCCUGCUCGUGCUGCCGUCUCAUCUGCAGACGUCAAGAGCGCCGCGACCGGUGCGCCUGCAGUGCAAGCCCCGAUCCGGUACAAGGACUUUGUGCUGUCGCCCACCACCGUCACUGCACAUGCCGCCGCAUCGUGGACACCGGUGCCAGCGACGCAGGCAAACGCCCUUGUAGAUGGGCAGACGCACCGGCAGCCGGCCGACCGCGGUGGGAGUCCCGCUCCGCCGCCAUGCGCCGCCUCCGAGAGGGUAGGCUCAGGAGCUGCGGGAGCUGGUGCCACUGGGCUGACAGUGGCUCGUCCAACUGAUGAGUGUGUGAACCCCUACCUAGAGCGUGCCCGCGGCCGCGAACCGGUGCCGCCGCCGCGCACGUCGUACGCACCAGGUGGCGGAGUACGCUACAACAGCCUCACUGUGCCGUAUGUCGCGGCCCCGACGACGUUGCAGGCCGCGGCGAAGGGGUUUCCCGCUCAAUCUAGCAGCCCCUCCUCUUCACUGACGCUGAGCGCAAGCGGCACCGGCGUCAGCGCCUCCGACGAGCGUAAGGCGGGCGCAGGACAAGGACGGCGCUUCGAGGUAACGGGCGCGGACAGCAGCUCACAGGACUCAGACGCAUCGAUGCCCGCGUCCCAGGCCGCACGCCUCACCGCUUCGCGGUCUUUGCCGAGUACUGCCCCGGCGGCGGCGACGGUGGUGCGCAACACGUACGCGCCGCUUCGGUACGGCAACGUGGUUCAGUCCAAUGCAGCGUCACCGGCCACGUCUAGCAUGGCAAGCUCCUCUCUCAUGCCGCCACCGUCACCUUCACUGCAGAAGCAGCUGCCGCAACCACCUUCAGCGGCUUGCCCUGCUGCUGCUGCACCGACGGUGGGCAGUGGCCGUCUCAGCGUGUGUGGCGUCCUUCGGACGGCGCGUGCGGGUCAGCAGGGAGAGCGUGGGGAUUGGGAUGACGGCAAGCCCCGCGUGAGCGCGUCGUGGCCCGCAAAAGACGCUGGGUUGGUGUCAACGCAAGCACCACCGCUGCUUCCGCUACCCGGUCUGGCGAACCAGACCAGUGGCGCGUACUUUCUUCGGUCGGUUGGUCGCGUUAACGGCGCUGGCGCCGUGCCGCGCGCGGCAACACCCCGCGCUCCGUACGGGGAGGGGCGACCGCCCGCGGCGGCCGCGGCCCAGGAUGAGGCCCCAUCCCCUACAAGGCCUCUGUACACGAACCUUGGUGUUCUUAUCGCCGGCCCCAGCAUGACCGCCGACCCCGCGACCGCCACGACAACGCACGUGCUCCGCACUGGCGUGCAGCCACCAUCGCCGCGGCAUCCCCGAUCGAACUCCUACGCCGGCGAUGAUGCCGACAGGAAGCGGCAGCGCGGCUACAGCAACGUCGGAUUAACUGGCGCGGCACCGUCUGAAGUGCGGUACACCAACGCUGGGAGCCCGAACCUGUGGAACGCGUACAACGCGGGCGCGUCCCCGGCGAGCGCGGCGUCCGCUGCUGCCGUUGCCGCGCUGACGGGCUUGUCGCCCAGAAUCGGUGCGAAAACCCCCACAGCCGCCUGCGCCGGGGAGAGUAACAUAAACGACGGCAAGAGCAGCAAGACGACACAUACGAACAGCAGCAGCAGUCACCUGCAAGAUGUCUGUGACACCGGCUAUCUGUGCCUCGUAAUGGAGCACCACCCUAUGGGCGACCUCUGCCGGUACGCGCUGCGCGCCCAGCAUGAACUGGAGAUGCGGCGCCACCGCCAGAAGCAGUCCCAGUCGCAGGCACUGGCACGCAGCAGUUUGAUGAGCGUGGGCAUCUUGCAGCCCAUCACGUCACCGGCAACAGCGACGACGCAAAGCAGGACGUGUACGUCCGAGCGAAGCUCUGCUCAGCAACCGCAAGCCCCCACGAAGAACGCGACCGAGCGCGACGGCGGUGGCACGGGGGCGGAGGCAGGGGAGUCGACCUCACCGCUUUCUCUUCGCCCCUUAUCGCUCACGCAUGGUGGGGCAGCGGGGUCAGCAGCGGCGGCCUUGUCACUGCUGGCGGCCGCCGCAGAUGCCACCUGGACGGUGAAGGUGGCUAUGAGCCGAACGGACCUCCACCCGGCGCUCUCGGCCGGAGUCGGCGGUCGUGGUAACACCUCUGGAAGCCAUACCGCCGGCGGCACCGAUGGUGACGAGCGCGCCACCGACUUCGAUACCCAGCGAGCAGCCUCUGUUGCGGUCGAUCCCACAAGUGAAAACCCCCUCACCGAGGCGCAGCUGCUCUCCAUCGCGUAUCAGCUUGCCUCGGUGCUCGAUCACAUGCAUCAGCAGAACCCGCCCAUCGUUCACCGUGACUUGAAGCCCGAGAACAUCCUAAUCAAAGGCGAGCUCAUCGACUACCUCGACCUGCCUCUCUCCGCCGUUUUGGCGAGCACUAACAACACCGUGCACUGCGGUGGCAAGGACGAUGCCUUGGGCAAGUCCUCUGUGUCUCCGAUGACGCCGCCCUUCGCAACCCCGGCCGCAGUCAUCGAUGCCGCCGCCAGUUCUUUGACGUCGCUGCCGCCGAUCCGAAUCACGCGCGCUGUGGUGCCCAUUGUUCUCAUCGAUUUUGGUCUUGCAAUCCUACAAGACACCCACGGCCGCUCGCACGGCAGCCGCGGCGGUGGCACCCGCCCGUACAUCGCACCAGAGAGCUGGAAGGGCGACACGUGCACGGCUAGUGACGUGUGGAGUCUCGGCUGUGUGCUGUACGCACUCGCCACGUGCCGUCUCGUUGCCGAGGACGUUCGGAUCAUGUCUCAGGAGGCGAAGCGGGACGGGUUUGCCUCGCGCAUGCUGAAAGACAUCAUCGCGCACAAGUACUCCCUGGCCUUCGCGAGUUUUGUCGUGUCGCUGCUUGUCGUCGAUCCGGCAAAGAGGCCGACGGCGGCGCAGGCGGCGCGGUGCUUCUGCGUCGCAGACGGCGACAUCUGCUUCGACCUCAGCAGCCCAUUCUUCAGCAACGUGCUCGAUCUCUAGCAUGCGUGCGUGGGCGUGUGUCUGUCUCGGUGCGGGGCGCGGGCGACACACGCAGGACCUCACCAAUGAGCCUUGCACAGCACAACAGC